CUCACUUUGUGCUUAGUAAGGGCUUUUUCUCUCUCAAGUGAUCUCAUUGCAUUGCAUUUUUUAAUGCAUGUUGCACUAAUCAGAGUAUGCACUGAAACGCUGGAGUCUGAUGAACAUGGAUCACAUGAAGACAUCCUUUAAUGAGAUGUUGAAUGCCCCAAAACAGAAGGCGAUCUAUUCGUACAUCACAGCGGGAGGUGACAGGGUCCUGCUGACAUCACAGGAGGCUCCAGAGGACGACCCGGCGCUGAGAGCUCGCACGCUGCACAAGGUUUGUGCAGGAAUGAAGCGUGUCCUGUUCGUUGGAAUAUCCUGUGGCAUGUCUGUAUGAAUAACACUAUUGUCUUUUUCUAAAAUCACAUUAUUUAAUCAAUAGUAAAGGACAAAAGUUGUGACAACAGAAAUUUAAAAAAGCCAUCUCCUCAUUUGUAGAAUAAUUUAACUAAAAAUGUUUUAUUUUAGGGUGACCAGACAUCCCACCUUUCCAAGAACAGUCCUGGUUUUUCAACUUUACAUUUCACAAAAAAACAACAACAACAAAAAAGCCUUCAAAAGCAAAAAAUAUUUAAUAACAUAUAUAAAAAAUAUUUUAAAAAUGUUAUUACUGUAUGCAGCAUCACAGUUCUUGAAAAUGAAAUAUUAUAAAUUUAGAAAAAUAGUUUAUUUAAAAUAGAUAUAAAAAAUAAAAAACGUUACAGUUUUAUUUAUAUAAAGUUCUCACCUUUAUUUUGGAAAUUGUGUUAUACUAUUCCCAAAAUAAAGGGAUGUGUUAUGUGUUAAAACCAAUGUGUUAUGUGUUAAAAACCACCCAGAGCUCUCUCCUCACAUGUUCUUCUGAAAAUAGUAUAUAUAUUUUUCUAUAUGCAUUGGCUACUUUUUACUAUUUUUACUAGUGUGAUUUUCGAUUAAUUGUAUUUAAAACAGUUAGGGUCAAUUUAAACCUGCAAACAUCAUAAUAAUUAUGAAUUAAAUAACAAUAAUAAUAUAUGAAGCCCACAACAAAUAAAAAACAAAAGCAUACAAAAAUGUAUUGUCCCCAUUUUUUUCUUCAUAGGUAAUAAGAAAUGUGAUUUUAAUUAUAUUGUAUUUUGGCCAUGCACUGGACCACUGAAAAAGGCACAAAAGAUGUCACUGAUGGUACUUUUUCAAAUAUGUACAUUUUUGCUACAAAUAUGAACAUUUAAGGUACUAAAAGGCACCUUUUUGGGGUAAGUGAGGUACAAAAGGUGUACCUCUCGAAAGGUAUUAAAACACUGAAAGCUUUUGCACCUUUUUUGAGUUUACUAUAGGAAAUGUCUGCAGUUUUUAUUUGAUUUCUUUCAGACGUAUGUAGGUAACAUUAAUGUGAGCUCUUAUCAAAGCCGUCUGUGUGUCAGCUGUGAAUGCACUUCAUGAUGUUAUUCUGUGUCAAAGGCACCAUUUGUUGCUGGGCAACUUGAUUUUUGUCUGAAGCACUUAGACGUCUUUACUCCAGUGCUUCUGGGAUUCAGUCCUGUACCUAUGGCAAGGUAGAUCUACCGAGUGCAAACAAGGCCUUUCUGCAUAUUCCAAACUCUCAUAUUUUGAUUUCAAGUGCCUAGUAACAAGAGUAGAUUGCACAUACUAACAUUCUUGCCAUGCUGACAGGAGUGAAGCAAUCUGUUCAUUUCACUUUAAAGACGUUGCAGAGAGGAUGACUGCAGAGCAGAAAGUGCUCCUCCUGAAUCCUGUCUUAGGAGUAUGAGACGCAUUGCAUUGACACAAACACAUCUGUGCACGUGUAACACACCACCGACUGCUCUGAACACCUUGGCAACCACCCUAGCAACCCAGGACACUCUAUAAUAAUGGCUGCACAGGCAUUCUAUAGAAAAUGUCAAAAUUCUUACUGAUGUUUAUGGAGUGUCCAUCCAUCAUAAGAAGCUCUGGUCUCUACUCAUAUAGGCUGAGGCCAUCAGCGGAUCGUCCCGGAUGAAAGGAGGCAAUGCAACUAAAAUCAUUCUGAAAACUAUUCUUCUGGCAGGACGUGAAGCUGCAUUUAGAGGAAAGAUAACAACACCUGAGACUGACUUAUGCAAGUGAAUGCAUCCCAACAUAUGGAGCAGAGGUUUUAUCAACAAUGGUUUCAGCAAAAUGAAAAACAAAGAGGGGGAUCUGUCAUCUUUGAUGACCUGCAUGAGGUGACGGCACUAGCCGAUAAAGUGAGGCGAAGGACAUCUAAUUUGCAUGCAAUUGCUCAUGACCUUGAGAAAUUCACUGUUCCUGAAAGAGUAUGCAACAUGUUUGAAACCGUUCUGCACAUCACAUGUUUUUUUUUCCUCAGAGGACGUGAACUCAUUUUUAAUGAGACAGCACUGGGAGCUUUCAACUAAAUGGUGUCUUAAUGAAAUCAGCACAGGAGCUCAU
This is an RNA transcript of Cyprinus carpio (common carp), 2385 nucleotides long. It is a transcript of the gene named glucokinase regulatory protein-like, with no coding region annotated. The transcript has 9 exons. The record is from RefSeq and is a predicted model, not a curated record. Lineage: Eukaryota; Metazoa; Chordata; Actinopteri; Cypriniformes; Cyprinidae.